GUAGGAACGGCACAGCCGCAAAUCCGACCUGCCACCGAUUGUGUGGCUUGGGAUUGCGGACGUGC
This 65-nucleotide non-coding RNA is filed under the name unclassified sequences. Its description in RNAcentral is "S15-Halobacteria ribosomal protein leader". It matches the Rfam family "S15-Halobacteria ribosomal protein leader". The record is from RNAcentral.